CUCCUCCUUCGUUGAGAGGGUUUGGUUCGCAGAGACAAAGCCCUGGCUUCAGUUUGUUUCCAACCAGCUGGUUGGGGGGCAGCCAUGGGAGAACAGUGUUCGUUGCUGGAGAUGCGUUGGAGGCCGUCGAUAUUUGCUUGGGAGGUGAGCUGCAAAUCCAGCCGCGCUUUCAAUCUUCGUGUCACAGAUUUGGGAUCGGGAGAUUUCUUCUUUUCUACACCCUUCGACUCAGGCUUCCAUCUUUCUUCCUUGCGAAUAUUUGCAUGGUUUGUCUUCAGGUUCUUGAGUAAUCCCUAUUGCUAUAUAAGAGAAGUUGAGGUAUUUAAAUUUCAGAACAUAUUGGGUUCUAUCAGGAAGGGAAUUGAAUCUCACAGAUUAGCUCAGGGUGUUAAAAGGUUCUUAAGGGAAAGGCCAUCCAUGGUUGAAGAAGGGCAAUGGAUAUACCAUACACCCACCUAAAUGAGUCUUUAAUUUUCUGAGAUUGAUUCAAUGGCAGCAAAGGAAGAUUGAUGUAACAAUUAGCAGGGAGUUGCUAUAGGAUUCUAUGCAAUGAAGUGUUUCCACUACUUCAACAACAAAAUAAAUGAGGUGGGAACAAAGAUUGCUGCAUAAUUGAAAGAACAGAGGAAAUCUGAUUAUUCAGGAGCUGAAUAUGGUCAUUAAGUCUUCAUGCUCAACAAAAUCACCCCACUCUGUAAACCGGAAUUUGUAUGAAGUUAGGUUUCAAAUAUGUUAAUGAGAUAUGAGUACAUGCUGUUUUGUGUAGUAUCCUGGUAUUUGUAGGUAUUUUUAAUCGCGAUUUUAUAUGGUUAAUUUUACUUAAAAAUACAGGAAUGGGUCGACUGUGUAGCAAAUGGAGAUGCUAGCAUGUUGACAAUAAAAAUAGAUGCGACAGAAAAAUAGAUGCAAAACCAAA
Prunus persica (peach) is the source of this 916-nucleotide RNA transcript. RefSeq lists it as uncharacterized. Lineage: Eukaryota; Viridiplantae; Streptophyta; Magnoliopsida; Rosales; Rosaceae. The record is from RefSeq and is a predicted model, not a curated record. The transcript is spliced from 4 exons.